RNAcentral lists this ribosomal RNA (423 nucleotides) under uncultured bacterium. RNAcentral's name for it is "bacterial SSU rRNA". It matches the Rfam family "Bacterial small subunit ribosomal RNA", at positions 335 to 746 of the family's 1533-position model. The record is from RNAcentral.
ACUCCUAUGGGAGGCAGCAGUGGGGAAUAUUUGCACAAUGGGCGCAAGCCUGAUGCAGCCAUGCCGCGUGUGUGAAGAAGGCCUUCGGGUUGUAAAGCACUUUCAGCAGUGAGGAAGGCCGGAGUCGUUAAUAGCGGCCUCGUUUGACGUUAGCUGCAGAAGAAGCACCGGCUAACUCCCGUGCCAGCAGCCGCGGUAAUACGGAGGGUGCGAGCGUUAAUCGGAAUUACUGGGCGUAAAGCGCAUGCAGGUGGUUUGUUAAGUCAGAUGUGAAAGCCCGGGGCUCAACCUCGGAAUAGCAUUUGAAACUGGCAGAACUAGAGUACUGUAGAGGGGGGUAGAAUUUCAGGUGUAGCGGUGAAAUGCGUAGAGAUCUGAAGGAAUACCGGUGGCGAAGGCGGCCCCCUGGACAGAUACUGACAC